Molecule: unclassified non-coding RNA, 1051 nt
Filed under: Bombus terrestris (buff-tailed bumblebee)
Lineage: Eukaryota; Metazoa; Arthropoda; Insecta; Hymenoptera; Apidae
Description: misc RNA ENSBTSG00005032009.1
Source: RNAcentral
CGCGAAGGUUCACCACCUAGUUUUUCGCCCUCAAAUUCACCAAUUUCCGAACACUGCGAGGCGCAUUCCUUUCGAUCUCGUUCGCCAUCGCCCACAUCACACCAUAGCGUUUGUUAUUAAUCUUAUUGGUACGAAUAAAUAUCAUCCUACCAAACAUUUGUAAAAUUUAUUCAGUUAGAAGCUAGAAUAUUUAUUUAUUGUACAUAGCUGUAUAGUAUAUCUACAUUUGCAUCCGACGAUAAUUAUUGCUGAUAUUGUAAUACCUUCAAUCAACUAACAACGAAUAAAUUAAAAUAUAGUUAAAUCAACAUAACUCUGUUAGACGAAAUAAAUACGUUGCCAAUUGUCUAUCCCUAAUAACUUUAAUCCUCUCCCGUGCCAGUAUUUCUGCGCAUAGCAGGUUAGCCGAAAGGUGGAAUUCGUUUGCCAGUUGCAUCAAACGUAAGUCAACGUCACCCAUUAAACACCAGUUAGUAGAUAAUAGACUCUCACCUAGUUCAAAAGACACGACAGACAGGGUACAAGGUUUGUUUUCCUACAGGCAAGAAAGUGCUUAUAGAGGCACUUCCAGUCUGGGAAUUCAAAAGACACAACAGAUAAGGGUACAAGGUUUGUUUUCCUACAGGCAAGAAAGUGCUUACAGAGGCACUUCCAGUCUGGGAAUUCAACAGACACAACAGACAAGGUACAAGAUUUGCUUUCCUACAGCCACGAAGGUGCUUAUAGAGGCACUUCCAGACUGGGAAUCCAAAAGACACGAUAGACAAACAAUACCCAUCAUACACUAACACUUCCAACUUUAAGAAAUAAUAAUAAUAAAAGGAAAUUCUUUGAAAUAGUCCUUAGAUUGUUUCUGGUGGCAGCAACUACCAUAUUAAUCGGACAUCUCAAUUAAUAUUUCAUAAACAAUCAUACCAUUUCAAUUUUCCCCUUCCGAUUAAACUUAAGAUAACACAACAAAAAAAAAAAAAAAAAAAAUUUAUCUGGAUUUAGUCUAGACUAACACGGAAGGCAUAGCACAAUCAGAUCGAACAUAACAGAACGUAACAAC